This 23-nucleotide microRNA is filed under the name anatid alphaherpesvirus 1. RNAcentral describes it as "dev-miR-D8-5p". Its record names the gene dev-miR-D8-5p. Lineage: Duplodnaviria; Heunggongvirae; Peploviricota; Herviviricetes; Herpesvirales; Orthoherpesviridae. The record is from miRBase by way of RNAcentral.
UGCCUCCCGAUUAAACUAUACGC